GGGACACCAAACAACAAUGUAUGAGCACUAUUUUCUCUAUAGUCACUGAAUCACAAGGUCCUUAUCAUGAAAUGCAGCUGGAUCAUCCUCUUCUUGAUGGCACUAGCUACAGGGGUCAACUCAGAAGUCCAGCUGCAGCAGUCUGGGGCUGAGCUUGUGAGACCUGGGACCUCUGUGAAGUUAUCUUGCAAAGUUUCUGGCGAUACCAUUAUAGCAUACUACAUGCACUUUGUGAAGCAAAGGCCUGGACAGGGUCUGGAAUGGAUAGGAAGGAUUGAUCCUGAGGAUGAUAGUACUAAAUAUGCUAAGAAGUUCAAAAACAAGGCGACACUCACUGCAGAUACAUCCUCCAACACAGCCUACCUGAAGCUCAGCAGCCUGACCUCUGAGGACACUGCAACCUAUUUUUGUACCACACACAGUGUUGCAACCACAUCCUGAGUGUUUCAGAAAACGCAGAGGACAAAGAAGUUGCCCUGGUACUGAAAUGAAAAACAAAAUUAUUCUGAACAUUUGCUCAUAGUCAUUCUGACUGUCCCUGUGUCUGCCUCCUCCUCACAGUUCUAUAUGGUAUAUUUCUACUUUUCAAAAGGACAUCUCUGGUGAUAUGAUCAAAGAAGUGUCUCGUUAGUCUGGUUAAGGGUUUAUCUCUCUUGUUGAUUUUAUCAAUGAACCAGGUUUUGGUUUGGUUGAUUCUCUCUACAAUUCUUUUUCUUUCUACUUGGUUGAUUUCAGCCAUGAGUUUAUUUCCUGCCCAGUAUUCCUCUGGGGUGUAUUUACUUCUUUUUGUUCUAUAAAUUUUGGGUUUACUGUCAAGGGGCUAGUGUAUGCUUUCUCCAGUUUCUUUUUGGAGCACUCAGAGCAAUGAGAUUUCCUCUUAGCACUGCUUUCUUUGUGUCCUGUAAACAUGUUGUGCUUUCGUUUUCAUUAAAUUCUAAAACAAUCUUUAAUUUCUUUUUUUAUUUCUUUCUUGAACAAGUUAUCAUUGAGUAUAUUGUACACUGAACAUUUCCUCUAUGACAUCAACGUUUCAUUUCCUUGUCCCUAUCAUAGCCAU
Molecule: non-coding RNA, 1057 nt
Organism: Rattus norvegicus (Norway rat)
Lineage: Eukaryota; Metazoa; Chordata; Mammalia; Rodentia; Muridae
Source: the annotation of a RefSeq genome assembly